GUUACUAACGACGAUAUGCUUUGGGGAGCUGUAAGUAAGCUUUGAUCCAGAGAUUUCCGAAUGGGGAAACCCAGCAUGAGUUAUGUCAUGUUAUCGAUAUGUGAAUACAUAGCAUAUCAGAAGGCACACCCGGAGAACUGAAACAUCUUAGUACCCGGAGGAAGAGAAAGAAAAUUCGAUUCCCUUAGUAGCGGCGAGCGAAACGGGAAGAGCCCAAACCAACAAGCUUGCUUGUUGGGGUUGUAGGACACUCUAUACGGAGUUACAAAGGACGACAUUAGACGAAUCAUCUGGAAAGAUGAAUCAAAGAAGGUAAUAAUCCUGUAGUCGAAAAUGUUGUCUCUCUUGAGUGGAUCCUGAGUACGACGGAGCACGUGAAAUUCCGUCGGAAUCUGGGAGGACCAUCUCCUAAGGCUAAAUACUCUCUAGUGACCGAUAGUGAACCAGUACCGUGAGGGAAAGGUGAAAAGCACCCCGGAAGGAGAGUGAAAUAGAACCUGAAACCGUGUGCUUACAAGUAGUCAGAGCCCGUUAAUGGGUGAUGGCGUGCCUUUUGUAGAAUGAACCGGCGAGUUACGAUUUGAUGCAAGGUUAAGCAGUAAAUGUGGAGCCGUAGCGAAAGCGAGUCUGAAUAGGGCGUUUAGUAUUUGGUCGUAGACCCGAAACCAGGUGAUCUACCCUUGGUCAGGUUGAAGUUCAGGUAACACUGAAUGGAGGACCGAACCGACUUACGUUGAAAAGUGAGCGGAUGAACUGAGGGUAGCGGAGAAAUUCCAAUCGAACCUGGAGAUAGCUGGUUCUCUCCGAAAUAGCUUUAGGGCUAGCCUCAAGUGAUGAUUAUUGGAGGUAGAGCACUGUUUGGACGAGGGGCCCCUCUCGGGUUACCGAAUUCAGACAAACUCCGAAUGCCAAUUAAUUUAACUUGGGAGUCAGAACAUGGGUGAUAAGGUCCGUGUUCGAAAGGGAAACAGCCCAGACCACCAGCUAAGGUCCCAAAAUAUAUGUUAAGUGGAAAAGGAUGUGGCGUUGCCCAGACAACUAGGAUGUUGGCUUAGAAGCAGCCAUCAUUUAAAGAGUGCGUAAUAGCUCACUAGUCGAGUGACACUGCGCCGAAAAUGUACCGGGGCUAAACAUAUUACCGAAGCUGUGGAUUGUCCUUUGGACAAUGGUAGGAGAGCGUUCUAAGGGCGUUGAAGCAUGAUCGUAAGGACAUGUGGAGCGCUUAGAAGUGAGAAUGCCGGUGUGAGUAGCGAAAGACGGGUGAGAAUCCCGUCCACCGAUUGACUAAGGUUUCCAGAGGAAGGCUCGUCCGCUCUGGGUUAGUCGGGUCCUAAGCUGAGGCCGACAGGCGUAGGCGAUGGAUAACAGGUUGAUAUUCCUGUACCACCUAUAAUCGUUUUAAUCGAUGGGGGGACGCAGUAGGAUAGGCGAAGCGUGCGAUUGGAUUGCACGUCUAAGCAGUAAGGCUGAGUAUUAGGCAAAUCCGGUACUCGUUAAGGCUGAGCUGUGAUGGGGAGAAGACAUUGAGUCUUCGAGUCGUUGAUUUCACACUGCCGAGAAAAGCCUCUAGAUAGAAAAUAGGUGCCCGUACCGCAAACCGACACAGGUAGUCAAGAUGAGAAUUCUAAGGUGAGCGAGCGAACUCUCGUUAAGGAACUCGGCAAAAUGACCCCGUAACUUCGGGAGAAGGGGUGCUCUUUAGGGUUAACGCCCAGAAGAGCCGCAGUGAAUAGGCCCAAGCGACUGUUUAUCAAAAACACAGGUCUCUGCUAAACCGUAAGGUGAUGUAUAGGGGCUGACGCCUGCCCGGUGCUGGAAGGUUAAGAGGAGUGGUUAGCUUCUGCGAAGCUACGAAUCGAAGCCCCAGUAAACGGCGGCCGUAACUAUAACGGUCCUAAGGUAGCGAAAUUCCUUGUCGGGUAAGUUCCGACCCGCACGAAAGGCGUAACGAUUUGGGCACUGUCUCAACGAGAGACUCGGUGAAAUCAUAGUACCUGUGAAGAUGCAGGUUACCCGCGACAGGACGGAAAGACCCCGUGGAGCUUUACUGUAGCCUGAUAUUGAAAUUCGGCACAGCUUGUACAGGAUAGGUAGGAGCCUUUGAAACGUGAGCGCUAGCUUACGUGGAGGCGCUGGUGGGAUACUACCCUAGCUGUGUUGGCUUUCUAACCCGCACCACUUAUCGUGGUGGGAGACAGUGUCAAGCGGGCAGUUUGACUGGGGCGGGCGCCUCCUAAAAGGUAACGGAGGCGCUCAAAGGUUCCCUCAGAAUGGUUGGAAAUCAUUCAUAGAGUGUAAAGGCAUAAGGGAG
Molecule: ribosomal RNA, 2311 nt
Filed under: Staphylococcus aureus
Lineage: Bacteria; Bacillati; Bacillota; Bacilli; Caryophanales; Staphylococcaceae
Description: partial 23S ribosomal RNA
Rfam family: Bacterial large subunit ribosomal RNA
Source: RNAcentral